AUGCUGACAUCAUCAUCAUCGUCAGGUUUGUCAGAAACCAGGACAGGACUGUUGGGGUCCAGAGGAACCGGCUCCUCGUCAGAGUCAUCUGAUAUGGUGAUGAAGUUCCUCCUGCGUGCCCGACGACCUACACACACACACACACACACACACACACACUUAUCUGUAGCACGUGUAUGCUCUUGCCUUGGCUUCAGAACCCCCCCCCCCCCACCUGCUUGUGCUGUACCUCGGCUUCAGAACCCCCCCCCCCCCCCCUGCUUGUGCUGUACCUCGGCUUCAGAACCCCCCCCUGCUUGUGCUGUACCUCGGCUUCAGAACCCCCCCCCCCCCCCCUGCUUGUGCUGUACCUCGGCUUCAGAACCCCCCCCCCCCCCUGCUUGUGCUGUACCUCGGCUUCAGAACCCCCCCUGCUUGUGCUGUACCUCGGCUUCAGAACCCCCCCCUGCUUGUGCUGUACCUCGGCUUCAGAACCCCCCCCCCCCGCUUGUGCUGUACCUCGGCUUCAGAACCCCCCCCUGCUUGUGCUGUACCUCGGCUUCAGAACCCCCCCCCCCCCCCUCUUGUGCUGUACCUCGGCUUCAGAACCCCCCCCCCCCCCCCUCCUGCUUGUGCUGUACCUCGGCUUCAGAACCCCCCCCCCCCCUCUUGUGCUGUACCUCGGCUUCAGAACCCCCCCUCCUGCUUGUGCUGUACCUCGGCUUCAGAACCCCCCCCUGCUUGUGCUGUACCUCGGCUUCAGAACCCCCCCCUGCUUGUGCUGUACCUCGGCUUCAGAACCCCCCUCCUGCUUGUGCUGUACCUCGGCUUCAGAACCCCCCCUCCUGCUUGUGCUGUACCUCGGCUUCAGAACCCCCCCCCCCUGCUUGUGCUAUACCUUGGCUGCGGUGGAUGUUGAAGCUGGCCAGGACGAUAACGUCAUCGUCGUCAGGUCUGUCCGCCAUAGUCAAUCACACUGCCUGGGUGACACGCUGCUCACAGACACACACUGACCAACAACACUCGACACCAUCCCCCUACACACACACACACACACAGUUAAUACCCUGUACUGUUCUGACAAACAGGACCCAGUAUAUACCCCAACACCACCCCAACACACACAGUUAA
RNAcentral lists this long non-coding RNA (1110 nucleotides) under Oncorhynchus mykiss (rainbow trout). Its description in RNAcentral is "lncRNA (ENSOMYG00000052443.1)". The record is from RNAcentral. Lineage: Eukaryota; Metazoa; Chordata; Actinopteri; Salmoniformes; Salmonidae.